This 410-nucleotide ribosomal RNA is filed under the name uncultured Roseibacillus sp. RNAcentral's name for it is "bacterial SSU rRNA". It matches the Rfam family "Bacterial small subunit ribosomal RNA", at positions 76 to 484 of the family's 1533-position model. The record is from RNAcentral. Lineage: Bacteria; Pseudomonadati; Verrucomicrobiota; Verrucomicrobiia; Verrucomicrobiales; Verrucomicrobiaceae.
UAGCUUGCUAAUGAAAUUCUUAGUGGCGGACGGGUUAGUAACACGUGAGAAUCCUACCCUUGAGUGGGGAAUAGCCUUUCGAAAGGAAGAUUAAUGCCCCAUAGUCUCUACGGAGUAAAGAUGCCUUCGGGUGUCGCUUAAGGAUGGGCUCGCGGCCUAUCAGCUAGUUGGUGAGGUAAGAGCUCACCAAGGCAACGACGGGUAGCUGGUCUGAGAGGACGAUCAGCAACACUGGAACUGAGACACGGUCCAGACACCUACGGGUGGCAGCAGUCGAGAAUCAUUCACAAUGGACGAAAGUCUGAUGGUGCAACGCCGCGUGGAGGAUGACGGCCCUAGGGUUGUAAACUCCUGUCAUCAGGGAGUAAGACUUAUUCGUUAAUAGCGUGUAAGUUUGAUAGUACCUGAAG